This 331-nucleotide unclassified non-coding RNA is filed under the name soil metagenome. RNAcentral describes it as "partial contains 5.8S ribosomal RNA, internal transcribed spacer 2, and large subunit ribosomal RNA". The stretch from base 1 to 120 matches the Rfam family "5.8S ribosomal RNA", at positions 35 to 154 of the family's 154-position model. The record is from RNAcentral.
GAUGAAGAACGUAGUGAAAUGCGAUAAGUAAUGUGAAUUGCAGAAUUCAGUGAAUCAUCGAAUCUUUGAACGCACAUUGCGCCCCCUGGUAUUCCGGGGGGCAUGCCUGUUCGAGCGUCAUUUCACCACUCAAGCCUCGCUUGGUAUUGGGCAACGCGGUCCGCCGCGUGCCUCAAAUCGACCGGCUGGGUCUUCUGUCCCCUAAGCGUUGUGGAAACUAUUCGCUAAAGGGUGCUCGGGAGGCUACGCCGUAAAACAAACCCAUUUCUAAGGUUGACCUCGGAGCAGGUAGGGAUACCCGCUGAACUUAAGCAUAUCAAUAAGCGGAGGA